This 74-nucleotide transfer RNA is filed under the name Labrys wisconsinensis. Its description in RNAcentral is "tRNA-Arg". It matches the Rfam family "tRNA". From Rfam's summary of the family: Transfer RNA (tRNA) molecules are approximately 80 nucleotides in length. Lineage: Bacteria; Pseudomonadati; Pseudomonadota; Alphaproteobacteria; Hyphomicrobiales; Xanthobacteraceae. The record is from RNAcentral.
GGCCCCGUAGCUCAGCUGGAUAGAGCGAGCGCCUUCUAAGCGCUAGGUCGCAGGUUCGAGCCCUGCCGGGGUCG